CUCGUCCAAGUAUGUAUGAUGACUUUAGCAAGCAGUGCAUGCUAAAACUCUCAGCAGCAGCUUCCUGCCCCAGAUGAUUGCAGCUUGCAAGCACUCCCCUACAGUGACCCUGCUAACUCACCUCCUCCUCCUUCCUGCAUGUAUAAUAAGCUCUCUGAGUUCCCAGGCUGCCAGUGCAUCUCCAUCAAAGCCCACAGCCCACACAGUCCCAGCUUUUCUGUACACAUGUCUGUCUUUCCUCAUUCCCUGUCACCCCAAUCUUAUCAGCCCCAAAGCUGUGCAGGCCACAGCACUGAGCUGUCUCCUCAGCCUUAUCUCAGAUUUCAAAUCUUUCAUGUCACAAGUUAGCUGGGGGUUCUCCGUUUCAUUCUUCCUCGGUGUGUUACAAGGUUUCAUCAUCUUCCAGAGGAGGUUCAGCUUCUUGUCUUGAUACCUUCGAGUCACAGUACCCCAUCCCCUCACUCCGGAAAGACUUGUCGGUAUCAAAUGGUAUUGGGGGUCAGGGAUCUGGGCCACAAAAGGAGCUACUCCUGGCUGGGCAGAGCAUGGAUACUUGGAAGGACAGUUCUCUGCACAGGAACCUCUGCUCAAGGGGCCCUUUGAAACACACUCAGAGGCCACUGCAGAAGAGGAUGGAAAGACUCCAAGAGCCAGAGGCAACAGUGGAUGACCAUGCAACCCAGCUUUCCAGUCAUGGCAGGGCACUGCACAUGUAAACUCACAGAGGCUGUGAACAAGACCUGCACAAGAUCAAUCCAGUCAAAAUCCCAGCAUGAAUGGACAAGGGCUCAUGAAGUCCCACCGUUAGCUGAGGAGCUUUUGGCAACUGAUGGCUGUUGUGGGCGGGGGACAGUUCUCACCAGGGAUGUGGGUCCUGACAGGCUGUUCAUGCUCAAGUAGAUGGCCCUAUACCAACGGAUGUACUCAUCUCACUAAGUGGACUCAGUGGGUUUCAGAAAGUGAAAGCACAUGAAAUUCGGAGGGAAAGUAGGGGAUGGUAGGAGGCAUCGGAGGGGAAGGGGUAAGGGUGAGUUUGAUCUAAAUAUAUUACAUUUGUGUAUAAAAUUAAGCAUAAUAAAAAAGAAUUAUUCUCCUUUAGUAA
Molecule: long non-coding RNA, 1102 nt
Organism: Peromyscus leucopus (white-footed mouse)
Lineage: Eukaryota; Metazoa; Chordata; Mammalia; Rodentia; Cricetidae
Exons: 2
Source: RefSeq, a predicted model, not a curated record